This 253-nucleotide ribosomal RNA is filed under the name uncultured bacterium. RNAcentral describes it as "partial 16S ribosomal RNA". It matches the Rfam family "Bacterial small subunit ribosomal RNA", at positions 524 to 776 of the family's 1533-position model. The record is from RNAcentral.
UACGAAGGGGGCUAGCGUUGCUCGGAAUCACUGGGCGUAAAGCGCACGUAGGCGGCUUUUUAAGUCAGGGGUGAAAUCCUGGAGCUCAACUCCAGAACUGCCUUUGAUACUGAGAAGCUAGAGUCCGGGAGAGGUGAGUGGAACUGCGAGUGUAGAGAUGAAAUUCGUAGAUAUUCGCAAGAACACCAGUGGCGAAGGCGGCUCACUGGCCCGGUACUGACGCUGAGGUGCGAAAGCGUGGGGAGCAAACAGG